AAUGUGAGUGUGAACGCAGGUGAAAUCUCCAGUGAAUAUGAGUCUCUGCGAGUGUGGGCCGGUCACAGCAGGUCACUGCAGGUCACAUGCAUGUGGAUGCAUGAGAAUGUGAGUGUGAACGCAGGUGAAAUCUCCAGUGAAUAUGAGUCUCUGCGAGUGUGGGCCGGUCACAGCAGGUCACUGCAGGUCACAUGCAUGUGGAUGCAUGAGAAUGUGAGUGUGAACGCAGGUGAAAUCUCCAGUGAAUAUGAGUCUCUGCGAGUGUGGGCCGGUCACAGCAGGUCACUGCAGGUCACAUGCAUGUGGAUGCAUGAGAAUGUGAGUGUGAACGCAGAUGAAAUCUCCAGUGAAUGUGAGUCUCUGCGAGUGUG
Long non-coding RNA from Dermacentor silvarum, 371 nucleotides. RefSeq lists it as uncharacterized. The record is from RefSeq and is a predicted model, not a curated record. The transcript has 4 exons. Lineage: Eukaryota; Metazoa; Arthropoda; Arachnida; Ixodida; Ixodidae.